GCGCCCUUAGCUCAGCUGGAUAGAGCGUCUGACUUCGAAUCAGAAGGCCGGGAGUUCGAGCCUCUCAGGGCGCGCCA
This 77-nucleotide transfer RNA is filed under the name Terriglobia bacterium. RNAcentral describes it as "tRNA-Arg". It matches the Rfam family "tRNA". Rfam says of the family: Transfer RNA (tRNA) molecules are approximately 80 nucleotides in length. Their secondary structure includes four short double-helical elements and three loops (D, anti-codon, and T loops). Further hydrogen bonds mediate the characteristic L-shaped molecular structure. tRNAs have two regions of fundamental functional importance: the anti-codon, which is responsible for specific mRNA codon recognition, and the 3' end, to which the tRNAs corresponding amino acid is attached (by aminoacyl-tRNA synthetases). tRNAs cope with the degeneracy of the genetic code in two manners: having more than one tRNA (with a specific anti-codon) for a particular amino acid; and 'wobble' base-pairing, i.e. permitting non-standard base-pairing at the 3rd anti-codon position. Lineage: Bacteria; Pseudomonadati; Acidobacteriota; Terriglobia. The record is from RNAcentral.